UUGUACCCCAUUUUCCAAUAAAUGAGGCAUUUGGCACAUCACCUGGUCGCUUUUCUGCUACCGCCGGGAACGAGCUCAAGGUUGGGAGGAAAAGAGGAAAUUCUGCUUCGCAUGCAUCCAGGAUGCCCCUGGGGGGAGGGUGUGAUGUCCUGGACUGAGAAAACCCAAAACCAUGGCUGGGACAACAGUUCUUGGGCAGAAUUUGAGAGCCUUGGAUGCGCACACAGUGGCUAUCAUCCUGUUUAAGUCUUUCUUUCUUGACUUCUCGACUCACUGACCAAACUUUUUGUGACGAGGUUUGAAGUUCUGGAGAGCAAGGACGAGCUUGAUCUCAUUGGACAACAACCACCAGAAUCGCUGCGGCAGUUUAACCAGCGCUUUCAGUCUUAUAUUCGUAAAUUCGUCUUGUGUGGCGACUUGAUACGGCUGUG
Selaginella moellendorffii is the source of this 431-nucleotide long non-coding RNA. RefSeq lists it as uncharacterized. Lineage: Eukaryota; Viridiplantae; Streptophyta; Lycopodiopsida; Selaginellales; Selaginellaceae. The record is from RefSeq and is a predicted model, not a curated record. The transcript is spliced from 2 exons.